This 364-nucleotide ribosomal RNA is filed under the name uncultured Planctomycetaceae bacterium. RNAcentral describes it as "bacterial SSU rRNA". It matches the Rfam family "Bacterial small subunit ribosomal RNA", at positions 524 to 886 of the family's 1533-position model. Lineage: Bacteria; Pseudomonadati; Planctomycetota; Planctomycetia; Planctomycetales; Planctomycetaceae. The record is from RNAcentral.
GACGAACCGUCCAAACGUUAUUCGGAAUCACUGGGCUUAAAGGGUGCGUAGGCGGCGCGGAAAGUUGGGUGUGAAAUCCCUCGGCUUAACCGAGGAACUGCGCCCAAAACUACCGUGCUUGAGGGAGAUAGAGGUGAGCGGAACUUAGGGUGGAGCGGUGAAAUGCGUUGAUAUCCUAAGGAACACCGGUGGCGAAAGCGGCUCACUGGAUCUCUUCUGACGCUGAGGCACGAAAGCUAGGGUAGCGAACGGGAUUAGAUACCCCGGUAGUCCUAGCCGUAAACGAUGAGCACUGGAUUGGAGGGUCCUCCAUAGCCUUCCGGUCGCAACGAAAGCGUUAAGUGCUCCGCCUGGGGAGUAUGGU